Molecule: transfer RNA, 75 nt
Filed under: Arabidopsis thaliana (thale cress)
Lineage: Eukaryota; Viridiplantae; Streptophyta; Magnoliopsida; Brassicales; Brassicaceae
Description: tRNA AT4G31695
Rfam family: tRNA
About the family: Transfer RNA (tRNA) molecules are approximately 80 nucleotides in length.
Source: RNAcentral
GGGGUGGUGGCGCAGUUGGCUAGCGCGUAGGUCUCAUAGAUCCUGAGGUCGAGAGUUCGAGCCUCUCUCACCCCA